Molecule: long non-coding RNA, 875 nt
Organism: Salvelinus namaycush (lake trout)
Lineage: Eukaryota; Metazoa; Chordata; Actinopteri; Salmoniformes; Salmonidae
Exons: 3
Source: RefSeq, a predicted model, not a curated record
GCGCGCGCUGGUUAUCAGGAUUUACAUUCUGUUUGAGGGAUGCUGUUACAAAUCGAAACAAAUUUCUGUCUUUUUACGGGUGAGAUGUGGGAAUCCAGCUGUCCAUGGUUUAGGGACUCUGCAGGUGUAGAGUUCCUGGGGACACUCAAGGGGUGGUGUUGGAUUGUCCAAACAAGACGGGGCAGACUGGCAGGCGCCAGCGCCGUGACGUCACCCAUUCAUCCGAGCCUUGACGCCUGUCAGCCUGGCGCCGAGCGGGCGGUCGCUAUGGAGACCUCAAACAACAGGCUCUCAUUCCCCCAUUCACCUGCAUAGCGCGCAAACCCUGAGAACAAACUGGCUGCGGUCGCAGAUGACAUGGCAGAGGGAGAAGGGGGCAACAAUGGGAGUGCGGUGCAGGGAUUGUGGGAGAGAAUCUAGACUGGAGCCACAGUGUCUGGAGCGCCCCUCCAUUCCCCUCAUCCAGCUUUUGUUCAGCUGCAAAAGCUAUCAGCACUUCCUACUGACACCAACAAUAACUCCACACAGCUGGGCCCUUUUCAGCCUGUUUGCACCACAUCAAGGCAAUGGAAGAGAGAGAGGAGAGAGGGAAGAGGCAGAGGAGGGAAAAGAAAAGUGAAACAUAUUAGCUCCUGAUUUUAACUGACAGAAUAGCAAUGCCUCCCACCAUCACCCACUCUUCCAUGGCCAGUCAUUCAUUGUAGUUAAUGCUGGAAUGCAAACUGACAUGUAAUUGCACCAAUGAAUUAUAAUGAUGUGUGGUAAAAAUUUGAUCCCACGUUGUAUUUCAUCUUUGUACAUUGUAUUCUGUAUGUAUCAAUGUCAACACAUGCAAUUAAAGCAUCCAUCAAAUUACUUGAUGAUGGCAGCUGAUG